Molecule: ribosomal RNA, 445 nt
Filed under: uncultured bacterium
Lineage: Bacteria
Description: partial 16S ribosomal RNA
Rfam family: Bacterial small subunit ribosomal RNA
Source: RNAcentral
GUGAGGAAUAUUGGUCAAUGGGCGAGAGCCUGAACCAGCCAAGUCGCGUGAAGGAAGAAGGAUCUAUGGUUCGUAAACUUCUUUUGCAGGGGAAUAAAGUGCAGGACGUGUCCUGUUUUGUAUGAACCCUGAGAAUAAGGAUCGGCUAACUCCGUGCCAGCAGCCGCGGUAAUACGGAGGAUCCGAGCGUUAUCCGGAUUUAUUGGGUUUAAAGGGUGCGUAGGUGGUUUGAUAAGUCAGCGGUGAAAGUUUGCAGCUUAACUGUAAAAAUGCCGUUGAAACUGUCGGACUUGAGUGUAAAUGAGGUAGGCGGAAUGCGUGGUGUAGCGGUGAAAUGCAUAGAUAUCACGCAGAACUCCGAUUGCGAAGGCAGCUUACUAAGCUACAACUGACACUGAAGCACGAAAGCGUGGGGAUCAAACAGGAUUAGAAACCCCUGUAGUCC